GUAGGUAAUUAGGGGAAUCCACAUAAAAUGGGGAAGGUUUCAUUCACGCUGAUCUCGUCUGAGUUUUUGCUAUGUGUUUAUGUCACGAUUGGUAUGUCGUGAGGCGGGUCCAAUAGCGUCACAUGGGAAACGCUCUUCGUAAUUGUGAGCUUCGAACGAGGCAACAGCCAAACGUGAAGAAAGGCUGAACCACUAGGUGAAGCAGCGCCUCUGACAGAGCGACGCUUCUUGUGUGUGCUGUUGGAUUGCCAGUCGCCCGUCUCGGUCGCUAACGAAUCAAGACGACGUUGAUCGAGAAGUUGGAGGUGGAGGAUGUGAACGGUUUGAUGGAAAAUAAAAAAAAACAAGAAGCGAAUGCGCUUUGCAGUCCGUCGUGAUGGUAAAAGUCACCAGAACUGACAUCAUCCAAAAAUCAUGUGAUCCUCGUUAUCUUCGUCAGCAUUUGUGUUUACACACCUCCACGUAAAAUGAAGAAGAAAAGGAAGAACGCGUUCUAUUGUGUCUGCGUCGAUGUACAGUAAAACGUUUUUCGUAUAUUUUUUGCUGUACACGGUAAACCUGUUCUCAUUUUCGUGUUGCCUGAUGGUCAAAUAAGGAAAAACCUUCGCGAUACAGUGAAUAGAUGUUUUGCUUGACUGUAACAGGAUGAACCGUACAUGCAU
RNAcentral lists this long non-coding RNA (662 nucleotides) under Toxoplasma gondii VEG. Lineage: Eukaryota; Apicomplexa; Conoidasida; Eucoccidiorida; Sarcocystidae. The record is from RNAcentral.